CCGCAGCGGCAGCUGCUCUUCCACAGCCGCUCUCUCUCUCUCUCUCUCUCUCUCCCCGCCAGCUGCAACGAACGGCAGCUGGAGACUUUGAGCCAGAGAGAGAGAGAGAGAGAGAAGCAAGAGCGAGAUCAAAUCC
RNAcentral lists this microRNA precursor (136 nucleotides) under Drosophila guanche. Lineage: Eukaryota; Metazoa; Arthropoda; Insecta; Diptera; Drosophilidae. The record is from RNAcentral.